GCCAGGGUGGCGAAACUGGCAGACGCGCAUGGUUUAGGACCAUGUGGGGCAACCCUUGGAGGUUCGAGUCCUCUCCCUGGCACUA
Molecule: transfer RNA, 85 nt
Filed under: Candidatus Levybacteria bacterium RIFCSPHIGHO2_01_FULL_38_26
Lineage: Bacteria; Candidatus Levyibacteriota
Description: tRNA-Leu
Rfam family: tRNA
About the family: Transfer RNA (tRNA) molecules are approximately 80 nucleotides in length. Their secondary structure includes four short double-helical elements and three loops (D, anti-codon, and T loops). Further hydrogen bonds mediate the characteristic L-shaped molecular structure. tRNAs have two regions of fundamental functional importance: the anti-codon, which is responsible for specific mRNA codon recognition, and the 3' end, to which the tRNAs corresponding amino acid is attached (by aminoacyl-tRNA synthetases). tRNAs cope with the degeneracy of the genetic code in two manners: having more than one tRNA (with a specific anti-codon) for a particular amino acid; and 'wobble' base-pairing, i.e. permitting non-standard base-pairing at the 3rd anti-codon position.
Source: RNAcentral